AAGAGAAAGCACAGGUAGCAGGGGCAUCAAUGGAAGACCUGCUGAGUAAAGCAAAAGACUUCAGAUCAGGACUAUCUUGGGAAAAAUUCAGUUCCCAAAUAGCCACUGCAGUUCAAAAGGCUCCAAAUGAGGAGAAGCCUAAAGUCCAGGUAGCCACAGUGAGGGGAGAAGCCAAGGCUAGAAAUCUACCGUCACAGAAAGCCAAUGUGAAGCAAGCUCCAAUAUCGUUUUCCCCAUUGCCAAAGCAAAAGGAAGCAUCGAAGCCAAAACCAAAACCAAAAGCAAAAGAGGCAGAGAAAACAGAAGUGAG
Molecule: long non-coding RNA, 310 nt
Filed under: Gossypium barbadense (sea-island cotton)
Lineage: Eukaryota; Viridiplantae; Streptophyta; Magnoliopsida; Malvales; Malvaceae
Description: long non-coding RNA (GBAR_LNC017719)
Source: RNAcentral